UGAAAAUUCAGACAUAUUGCCCAGGGGGAAGUCCUGGGAACUGGGUUUAAUACCGCAUGUGCUCUUCGGAGUAAAGUGGGCUUCGGCUCACGCUUUGAGAUAGGCUCGCGUCCUAUCAGCUAGUUGGUGAGGUAACGGCUCACCAAGGCGACGACGGGUAGUUGGUCUGAGAGGACGAUCAGCAACACUGGAACUGAGACACGGUCCAGACACCUACGGGUGGCAGCAGUCGAGAAUCAUUCACAAUGGGGGCAACCCUGAUGGUGCAACGCCGCGUGGAGGAUGAAGGCCCUAGGGUCGUAAACUCCUGUCAUAUGAGAGUAAGGCAUAUUAGUUAAUAUCUAGUAUGCUUGAUAGUAUCAUAAGAGGAAGGGACGGCUAACUUCGUGCCAGCAGCCGCGGUAAUACGAAGGUCCCGAGCGUUAUUCGGAAUCACUGGGCGUAAAGGGAGCGUAGGCUGCGUGGUAAGUCAGAUGUGAAAUCUCAGGGCUCAACCCUGAAACUGCAUCCGAUACUGCCACGCUAGAGUAAUGGAGGGGUAAGUGGAAUUCUCAGUGUAGCAGUGAAAUGCGUAGAUAUUGAGAGGAAGACCAACGGCGAAGGCAGCUUACUGGACAUUUACUGACGCUGAGGCUCGAAGGCUAGGGUAGCGAAAGGGAUUAGAUACCCCAGUAGUC
RNAcentral lists this ribosomal RNA (677 nucleotides) under uncultured cyanobacterium. RNAcentral's name for it is "bacterial SSU rRNA". It matches the Rfam family "Bacterial small subunit ribosomal RNA", at positions 118 to 795 of the family's 1533-position model. Lineage: Bacteria; Bacillati; Cyanobacteriota. The record is from RNAcentral.